RNAcentral lists this long non-coding RNA (266 nucleotides) under Citrus maxima (pomelo). Its description in RNAcentral is "long non-coding RNA (CMAX_LNC003030)". Lineage: Eukaryota; Viridiplantae; Streptophyta; Magnoliopsida; Sapindales; Rutaceae. The record is from RNAcentral.
CAGGAAGUACGAUCACAAGAAACCAAAACUCCUAAAACAUUCAAUUCAUGUAGAUUCGACAAAUAGGAAGGCACAGCAUGACAAUAACUAUUUUGUUUGACAUCAAAAGAAAAGGAAGAGUCAAGUAUGGAGAUCAAACGGGGCUGAGGAGCUGAUAGACUUGGGGCUUGGGAUCAGAAUUCAUGCCGAUAAUGAUGAUAAGAGGAAUAAAUCCAUAGUGAGUGACCACUUUAGCCUUUUUCAUGGUCCAAGUGCUCCACUCUUUG